RNAcentral lists this long non-coding RNA (585 nucleotides) under Nicotiana benthamiana. RNAcentral's name for it is "long non-coding RNA (NBEN_LNC032663)". Lineage: Eukaryota; Viridiplantae; Streptophyta; Magnoliopsida; Solanales; Solanaceae. The record is from RNAcentral.
UUUACAGCGGCAGCAUGUUGAUUUUGGAACAUCUCUCAUGCAGAUGAACUCCCAAUUUUUUCGGGGCAGAUUACCUUCAAACAAGGUUCCUCUGACGUGCUUUAGAAGAAUUCCUGCAACCUGUUUAGUGUUCAUUGUUUGGCACAUGGACUCCAUUAGUCUCUUCGAUAGAAUUCUCUAUUUCCCUCUACUUCAAAGAGGAACAAGUUUUCCUUUCUUCUACAGGUAUAGAGUAUACAAAAGAUGUCUAGACUUGCUCGAACUUUGUGACUGCACAAAGAAAAAGUAACACUGUGAAGCCAUAUAUACUUUACAAUGAUUCUUUGAUUUUUGCUUCCCCUCAAAAGGUCUCUUAAAUAUUCAUAUGUACAUUCAAAACCUUUUGCUUGUCGAGUUGCUUCAAAAUCUAACUAGCUUUUAAUAUAUUGGAAUUUGUGUCGCUUGAAGAGACCUCUUAGUUCCCCCACAGCACAAACACAUUAGCAGGUGACAGCAUACGUCAACGAAAUUUCGAAGUAGAGAAAAAGCAUCCUGAUUCGACACAACUUUCUGGCGUUUGUUUCAAACAAAAAUAAAAGUGUGUUA